Salmo trutta (river trout) is the source of this 1866-nucleotide long non-coding RNA. The record is from Ensembl. Lineage: Eukaryota; Metazoa; Chordata; Actinopteri; Salmoniformes; Salmonidae.
AUGGAAACGCUGAUAAAAAACUAUAAACCCGAGGACAAGAAACAAAAAAGGAAGAAUAAACGAGAAAGAGAAAACGAAAUACUAAAAAUGUUUAAGGAAGAAAGAGCGGCUUUGUUACAAAGCAUGAAGACAGCAAGAGAAGAACUAAAGAAGAACGAUAACACAAGCAAAGAGAAAACGGAGUCGGGGGGACCAGCCCCCCCGCCGUAUUCCAAUGGACAGUUUCCCAUGAUAACUGGACACAUGGAAAUUAAAGGGGUACUGGUGGUGACAGAAGAAAAGGAAGGGAUCACCUCACCUGGAGCAAUGUGUGCACCUUCACAUUCAACAGAAAGAGGAGAAAGGGAGACGUCAGAGCUGCAAACAAGAAGAGCGAAAGACCAAACGGAGGGGAACUCCAGGAAAAGCCAAAACACACUAGCAGAACGGGCAUCGGGUAAUAGUCCGAGCGAGGAAGAGGAGGAAGAGGAAGAGGAUGAUACAUCCUGUAGGGGACAAAUAGAGAGAGAAGGACAAAUAGUGGCACAAAGAAUAGAAGAGAAACUGGGACCGUCAAAAUCAACACACGGAGAAAACGUAAGAUUGCAAGAAAGACAGGAUGAGGCCUUGGCCCGUAGUAUGAAUGAGAGCCUGAGAAAUGAGCCUGCAGGGAAAUAUUGCAGGGCUCGUAGGGAAGGGUCUAGGAAAGAAUCGGGUUAUUAUGAAAAACAGCGGCAGAUCCUGAUAAAAGGAGAGCAAGGACACUAUAUACCAGGGGCUGCACAGGACAUGGAGGGGUUGGUUUUCCGCUUGCCAGAUCUCCAUGAGGGAGCAGGGAAGUGGAUCAGAACCUUUGAAGAAUACACCAUGGGGAAAUUGCUGGCGGUGGGUGACAUAAAGGCAUUGCUAGCGAGGGUGACGAGCGUGCAGAAAAUGAGAGAAAUCAUGCAGGAUGGUGCGAUCAACGGCACAGAUUGGGAGGUGACGAAGGAUGAACUGAUGUUCGACAGGUAUAGACCUGCCGUCUGGCGUGCAUUAAGGGCAGCAUACCCAACGAAGGUUGACCUCAACGCUCUGAGAGGUGAAGCUAUUGGAGCUACAGAAAACCCGGCCACGUACUUACAUGGACAUUUGGAAAGAUGGAGAAUGGAAACACAACAAGAUCCAGAAGGAAAUGAACUAAUGACAGCAAUGUUCCGAACUUCUGUGAUGGAAGCCAUGCCCCAGCCGGUAAGGAGCCGACUGGAGGAUGUGGUGGGGCUUACUUCAAAACCUUACAAAGAGUUCUGUGACUAUGUGAUUCAUGCCGUGGAAAAACACAGGAAGGACGAACAGAGACAGAUUGAACAAGGAAAAGACAUUCAGAGAAGGCUGGCCCAGUUGCAGCUGGACGAAUUAACCAACAAAGGAAAGAAGAAAGUCCAUGCCUCAGUAACCACCCCUGUGCCCGAGAUAGGAACAAUGUCUGCCGUUUCCCCAGGAGGGCCGCAACCGUCAACCCCCAGGCGGGCCCAAAUGCCUACCGUACUGCUAGUAGUAAAUGUAUACACACAGCCCCCUAAUUGGAAUGGUGGAAAUAAACAACAGAAAAAUACACAGGCAGAUCAGAGAAAGGGACCCAGGAACCUUAGGGGGGCACCUGGUGUCUGUUGGGGUUGCCACCAAUCAGGACACUCCAGACGAGAAUGCCCUACGAACCCCUGGCAGGAUCGGACUGGAGGAAACACAAAUAACAGGCGACCACCAACAAACAACAAUCCAGGUGGCUGGCAGCCGCAUACAAACGGGAAUCGGAGCGGUUGGAGCCCAAAUGGUGGAUGGCCGGGCAACCAAAGCCAACCUUCGGGCCCUGUGAACCCAUGGUCAGGGCCUAACCAAACAUACUAG